This is a non-coding RNA of Chlorocebus sabaeus (green monkey), 845 nucleotides long. The record is from RefSeq and is a predicted model, not a curated record. NCBI's taxonomy places the organism in Eukaryota, Metazoa, Chordata, Mammalia, Primates, Cercopithecidae.
UUAUGAGGUUUUUGAUUUUUGAGGAAUUCCCUGAGGGUGGGGAAGGCUGGUGUCUCCCAGGCCAAGGUCUGAGGUGGGAGCAGCAGGGGCACCUGGACUCUAGGGCUGGGGUGGUGACUGUGGAGGGAGAGACAGGCAGAGCCCAGGUGACUCCCUGUAGGAAGGGUAGGCCAGGAAGCAGGGCCAGGAAGCUGAAAGGGGUGGGACCGGGAAGCUGGAAGGGGUGGAACCUACUCGGGGAGAUCCUUGGUGGGGACAAGGAGGCACAUGUGUCUGGCUGCGCUGGAGCUGAAAGUCUGAGAGCAGGCAGUGAGAUUGGGAGCAGAGAGAGCACCCUGAGGGCAGAGCUCUGGGCCAUGUGGAGGCCUCUUCCUGUAAUCAGGAGGCAGAGGGAGCCCCUGGUGGUCCAGCAGGACCAGACGGCUCCUUCCCCUGGGACUGCCAGCCAGGCCUGCCAUGCUGUGUUCCAGAAGCUGCAGUCUGUCCAGCCAGGCUCAGGGGAGGGUCUUUGGACCCCCAGUGGUGGAUUUUGGGAAUGCUGGAAGCCAAGCUUGCACAUUCCAGGCAGCGAUUUGGAAGAUUCUUUUCUGUGGGUGACCAACUGGAAAGGAAAAACCCCGAAACAUUGGCACUGUGACUUCUCCAUGUGAACAGUUUAACUAGUUCGUCGAGGUGGACAUGCCUCAUUCAUGCUUAUGGAGUGACCAACCAGCCUUUAGUGACACCCCCUGAAAUGUGAAUUAUCCAUGGGUCACUAGUCGUUGGAGAAGAGCCUCUCACACAAAAAUUGGAACUCAGAUCACAAACAACAACAACAAUCCAAAAAAUAAAAAAAUAAAAAAUUA